GACAAUUUGCGUUGACGAUGCGAAUCCUCGGCGUAAGUUCAACGGACGGUGGCAGGCUGCGUGCGGAGCACGCGGGCUAGACCACUACGGAUAUGCAUCCAAAUAAUUUGUACUGUAACUAUGGCAGAUUAAGAAGAAAACUGAAUAAUCAUUUAAUCUCAAAAACUAAUCUAAGUUUUGAUGUAGACUGUCACAAAAAUAUACGAAUUCUUUACUGAUUUAUGAAAAUAAAGAACAGCUCAUGGUUUGAUUUUAUCAUUUUUUGUAACCCCAAUCAACUUUUAUCAAAGCUGUCCCAAGUAAUAUAGCAAAAAUAUUUUUUCUGAUCGUGUAAAAUAAUUUGUAAAAUAAUUUGCCUGGAGUAAAUGAUAUUAGUGGAUGGGGGACUAAGUAGCAGGGUGUCGGCACGCAGGCGCGGUGAGGCUUCUGCGCUCCUGCCCGCGGCCGUCAGCUCGACGACGCCACGGGCGCGGGCGGACGCCGGACGCUCUACCGGUUCACAUACACACACGUCUCGAUUCUCUUCUCGAAUACAAAUCGAUACGUAUUCGAUUAAUAAAGCCGAAUAACGUGCCAAACCGAUAUUCUACACAAAACGCAACGAUUAACCAGUUUUUCCAACGUUUGUAUACAGCCGCGCUAAUUACAACGUGAAAAUGUAUUUUGUGAUUGGUGUUAGUGAAUGGUUAGUGUGUAUUCGUGUAGUAGGAAAUUAAUUGGUGACGAUGUGUACAUAACACAGGUGUUCCGUGUGUGAGUGACAUUGAGUAGCAUACAGGAUGAGAGGGGCGAAAGCGAUAUUCCUUAUUCUAUUCUUCGGCCAUCUGUCAGCCUUGCCUGAUACUAUCCGAAUAGGUGGUCUAUUCCAUCCGGAGGAUGACAAGCAAGAGGUAGCGUUUCGGUACGCGGUGGAGCGCGUGAACGCCGACCGGGCGGUACU
Trichoplusia ni (cabbage looper) is the source of this 940-nucleotide long non-coding RNA. RefSeq lists it as uncharacterized. The transcript has 3 exons. The record is from RefSeq and is a predicted model, not a curated record. Lineage: Eukaryota; Metazoa; Arthropoda; Insecta; Lepidoptera; Noctuidae.